GGGAAGUAGAGCGGAGCAGUCUACACAGCAACAGACCGGUUAUUUACCUAUUGUUUUUUUCGUUUGCUUUUUUUCCUUCCUAAACAUUUCAAAUGUAGAGACAAGCCUGGGUUUUGGAAUCAGAGCUAGUUCUAUUUGGGCAAAUUGAUCAAGUUAUUAUAGCUUAGUGGAUCUAAUUUUCACCAUUGUGAGCUGAGGAUGGCCGUGUCUACCCCACAGGGAUGUUUGACAGUUGAAAGGAAUGCCAACAUUUAUUCAACAGUGUUCACCGAAUACCUGCUAUUUCCCAGGCACGGCAGUAAAGUGAUGAGUAGGAAUGGCAAGGCCCCUAUCCUAAAGGAUCUUACAAUCUUAUGGAGACAAACAAUAUGCAAGAAGUAGAUAUACGCAUAUCCGGUUCCUUGAAGUGAUAAUUACCAGACACAUACAUAGAGCUUAUUAAAAACUCUUAGAUGCCUUACCCUUUUGUAAUAAAGCUAUUCAUCUAGUGCUUGAAUAUGCUGUAUAACAUAUUCAUGAUAUGAUUGGUUAGUAUUUUCUUGAACAUACAGUAAUUAAGAAUUUACCUCCCAAACCAAACCUAUUUAUUAUUUGGGAAGCACUGACUGUGUUUUCAGAUGAUGCUGAACCCGCUUCAUCACCAACCAGUCCUCACUGUACAGGAGAAACAUCCAUAUGUUGGAAGAUCUAAAACUCUCCUCCCUGACAUCAUCUCAUCUCUAGGCCAGCACCCUGGUUCCUUUCAUCAUGAUCCAUAAGAUGCAUCCCAAACAGUCUCCUUAAUGAAAGGCCAUCUCUAGACUCUGGUCUACCAAACCAGCUACACUGAUGUGAAGAAGAAGAUGAUGAAGCUGAACGUCUCAGAGAGAUAAAAUUAAGUGCUCAAGGUCAUCCAUCAAGUAAAUAGUGAAAAGAGGAAACCCAAGUGCCUGCCUGGAGCCCUUUAUUGAACUGCAGCUGGGUACCUUACAUUUGCCAUUUGAGGUCAAUGUGCAGAUAUUCUGGAAAAAUGACCAGCUGCCCUGCUUUAUCCAGGACUGAGGAGUUUCCCAGGAUGUAGGACUUCCAGGGCUCACACUGGGAGAGUGUGGGGAAAACCAGGGCCAUUAGGCUCCCUAGGCCGGGAGUGCCAAACCGAAUUACCCCUCCAGCUUCUAAAGACGAAAAUUAUUCAGUCAAUUAAAAAAAAAAAAAAAGUCUUAAGAUUUCACCUGGCUUUCCUGAAAGCACCUU
Long non-coding RNA from Canis lupus familiaris (dog), 1233 nucleotides. RefSeq lists it as uncharacterized. The transcript has 3 exons. The record is from RefSeq and is a predicted model, not a curated record. NCBI's taxonomy places the organism in Eukaryota, Metazoa, Chordata, Mammalia, Carnivora, Canidae.